GGGAGGCAGCAGUGAGGAAUAUUGCGCAAUGGCCGAAAGGCUGACGCAGCGACGCCGCGUGGAGGAUGAAGUCCGUUAGGAUGUAAACUCCUUUUGCAGGGGAUGAAUGUGCCCUUUCAGGGCCUUGACCGUACCCUGCGAAUAAGGAUCGGCUAACUACGUGCCAGCAGCCGCGGUAAUACGUAGGAUCCGAGCGUUGUCCGGAAUUACUGGGUGUAAAGGGCGUGUAGGUGGGCUCCUAAGUCGGGGGUGAAAUCCCGUAGCUUAACUGCGGAAUUGCUUCCGAUACUGGGGGUCUUGAGUACGGCAGAGGGAGAUAGAAUUCAUGGUGUAGCGGUGAAAUGUGUAGAUAUCAUGAAGAAUACCGGUAGCGAAGGCGGUCUCCUGGUCCGUUACUGACACUGAGGCGCGAAAGCGUGGGGAGCAAACAGGAUUAGAUACCCCGGU
RNAcentral lists this ribosomal RNA (447 nucleotides) under uncultured bacterium. Its description in RNAcentral is "bacterial SSU rRNA". It matches the Rfam family "Bacterial small subunit ribosomal RNA", at positions 343 to 791 of the family's 1533-position model. The record is from RNAcentral.